GUUUAACUCCGAGCCUUCAUACCUAACUCACAAGACAGGGUGUGCUGGCCGCGGAUCGCAUUCAAAUGAAUGCUAUUCGCCAGGGUUGCGAGAGAAAUCGGACAGCCUCCCCGUAAGUGUCACCGCGAUUAUGCGUGGCAACUUCAAUUUGGAAAGGUGUUAG
Molecule: non-coding RNA, 163 nt
Filed under: Paraglaciecola chathamensis
Lineage: Bacteria; Pseudomonadati; Pseudomonadota; Gammaproteobacteria; Alteromonadales; Alteromonadaceae
Description: Moco (molybdenum cofactor) riboswitch
Rfam family: Molybdenum/Tungsten riboswitch aptamer (Moco RNA motif)
Source: RNAcentral